CCUACGGGAGGCAGCAGUGAGGAAUAUUGGUCAAUGGGCGCGAGCCUGAACCAGCCAAGUCGCGUGAAGGAUGACGGCCCUCCGGGUUGUAAACUUCUUUUAUAGAGGAGUAAAGUGAGGCACGUGUGCCUUUUUGUAUGUACUUUAUGAAUAAGGAUCGGCUAACUCCGUGCCAGCAGCCGCGGUAAUACGGAGGAUCCGAGCGUUAUCCGGAUUUAUUGGGUUUAAAGGGAGCGUAGAUGGGUUGUUAAGUCAGUUGUGAAAGUUUGCGGCUCAACCGUAAAAUUGCAAUUGAUACUGGCAGCCUUGAGUACAGUUGAGGUAGGUGGAAUUCGUGGUGUAGCGGUGAAAUGCUUAGAUAUCACGAAGAACUCCGAUUGCGAAGGCAGCUUACUAAACUGCCACUGACAUUGAUGCUCGAAAGUGUGGGUAUCAAACAGGAUUAGAUACCCGGGUAGUC
This 460-nucleotide ribosomal RNA is filed under the name uncultured bacterium. Its description in RNAcentral is "partial 16S ribosomal RNA". It matches the Rfam family "Bacterial small subunit ribosomal RNA", at positions 338 to 795 of the family's 1533-position model. The record is from RNAcentral.